Molecule: transfer RNA, 70 nt
Filed under: Hippoglossoides elassodon (flathead sole)
Lineage: Eukaryota; Metazoa; Chordata; Actinopteri; Pleuronectiformes; Pleuronectidae
Also listed under: 3 other names
Description: tRNA-His
Rfam family: tRNA
About the family: Transfer RNA (tRNA) molecules are approximately 80 nucleotides in length. Their secondary structure includes four short double-helical elements and three loops (D, anti-codon, and T loops).
Source: RNAcentral
GUAGGUAUAGUUUUAACAAAAACACUAGAUUGUGAUUCUAGAAAUAAGGGUUAAACUCCCUUUUCCCACC